RNAcentral lists this ribosomal RNA (125 nucleotides) under uncultured bacterium. RNAcentral's name for it is "partial 16S ribosomal RNA". The record is from RNAcentral.
UGGAGGAAUAUUGGUCAAUGGGGCGGGAGCCUGAACCAGCCAAGUCGCGUGAGGGAAGACGGUCCUAUGGAUUGUAAACCUCUUUUGUCGGGGGAGCAAAGAGGCCACGUGUGGUCAAAAGCGAG